UCAGCAGUCAGCUGUAGAACUUGAUAGAAACUUAGCUAAGCCAUUCCUCAGCCCUUCCAUUGGCCCUUGUGAUUGUAUCCUAACCCAUUUUCCUCCAUAGCAUUUCUUUUCCCCAUGAUCUUUCCAAAGAAUUCACCUAUAGAUCUCAAUUCUCUCUCGCCAUGCUAAGAUUAUCUUUCUUACUACCAAUUCCUUCUAGGCUCCAUCAUUUCUUUCCUAACGUCUUCUGAUUCGACUUUGAGACAACCCAGCACUCUGGAAUCUUUGCUGUGACUUCUCCAAUGGACAGAUGUUCUGUUCCAUCCUCUUAACGAGGCUUCAUGAUUUCUUUCCUAUCGUCUUCUGAUUCAACUUUGGGACAACCCAGCACUCUGGAAUCUUUGCUGCAACUUCUCCAAUGGACAGAUGUUCCUUUCCAUCCUCUUAACAAGCUGUCCACCCUAGAAAAUCGGAACAAGUGGUUGCUGGCAAGCAAAGCAUAUGAUGGUGUCCUGGUUGUGUUCAGAUGGCUCAGAAGAUGUAUUUGGUUCAAGAUUGGAUGGGGAGUGGCAGACCUCCACUUUGGCCAGUGAGGUAUCCACCCUAGAAAAUCGAAAUAAGUGGUUGCAGGCAAGCAAAGCAUGUGAUGGUGACCCGGUUGUGUUCAGAUGGCUCAGAAAAUACAUUUUGUUCAAGAUUGGAUGGGGAGUGGCAGACGUCCACUAUGGCCAGUGAGGUAUCCACCCUAGAAAAUCAGAACAAGUGGUUGCUGGCAAGCAAAGCAUGUGAUGGUGCCCCAGUUGGGUUCAGAUGGCUCAGAAGAUGUAUUUGGUUCAAGAUUGGAUGGGGAGUGGCAGACCUCCACUUUGGCCAGUGAGCUGUCCACCCUAGAAAAUCAGAACAAGUGGUUGCUGGCAAGCAAAGCAUACGAUGGUGUCCCUGUGAUGUUCAGGUGGCUCAGAAGAUGUAUUUGGUUCAAGAUUGGAGGGGGGAGUGGCAGACCUCUACUUUGGCCAGUGAGCUGUCCACCCUAGAAAAUCAGAACAAGUGGUUGCUGGCAAGCAAAGCAUAUGAUGGUGUCCCUGUGAUGUUCAGGUGGCUCAGAAGAUGUAUUUGGUUCAAGAUUGGAGGGGGAGUGGCAGACCUCUACUUUGGCCAGUGAGCUGUCCACCCUAGAAAAUCGGAACAAGUGGUUGCUGGCAAGCAAAGCAUAUGAUGGUGUCCUGGUUGUGUUCAGAUGGCUCAGAAGAUGUAUUUGGUUCAAGAUUGGAGGGGGAGUGGCAGACCUCCACUUUGGCCAGUGAGGUAUCCACCCUAGAAAAUCGGAACAAGUGGUUGCAGGCAAGCAAAGCAUAUGAUGGUGUCCCUGUGAUGUUCAGGAUUGAUCAGAAGAUGUAUUUGGUUCAAGAUUGGAGGGGGAGUGGCAGACCUCCACUUUGGCCAGUGAGGCUACAUCAUUUCAUUUCUAACAUCUUCUGAUUCGACUUUGAGACAACCCAGAACUCUGGAAUUUUUGCUGCAUCUUCUCCAAUGGACAGAUGUUCCUUUCCAUUCUCUUAACAAGGUGUCCAACCUAGAAAAUAGGAAUACCUGGUUGUAGGCAAGCAAAGCAUAUGAUGGUACCCCUGUGGUGUUCAGGAUUGAUCAGAAGAUGUAUUUGGUUCAAGAUUGGAGGGGGAGUGGCAGACCUCUACUUUGGCCAGUGAGCUGUCCACCCUAGAAAAUCGGAACAAGUGGUUGCUGGCAAGCAAAGCAUAUGAUGGUGUCCCUGUGAUGUUCAGGUGCCUCAGAAGAUGUAUUUGGUUCAAGAUUGGAGGGGGAGUGGCAGACCUCUACUUUGGCCAGUGAGCUGUCCACCCUAGAAAAUCAAAAUAAGUGGUUGCUGGCAAGCAAAGCAUGUGAUGGUGACCCGGUUGUGUUCAGAUGGCUCAGAAGAUGUAUUUGGUUCAAGAUUGGAGGAGGAGUGGCAGACCUCCACUUUGGCCAGUGAGGUGAGUGGCUGUGGCAGACUGCAUGAUGCGUCCAAACCCUUCUGAUCAGACUGACCCUGAGGUGCUGGAAGUCUUGAAUAGGAAAUCAAGGAAUCAAGAUCUCAGAGGCUAAGCUCUGCGCCUUACUUACAGGGAUCUUAACCUGUUGUCCUGACGUUUCCCAACAAGGAGCAUUUACUAAACAAAAAUGGCAUUUCCUCGGGCAGACUAUGAAACAAAGUGAGUCAAAAUGACACAGAAUGUUUACCGCCAUUGACAUUCCAUGCAAUCUAGUGAGGAUACUGCACAAACUGUGGAGAGAUGAGCUGUUACUCAGCUGCAGUCCCCACCUUUCACUGCUUCUACUCAGGCUUCUUACCCCUUUGAAUGAGAUGCCCAAGAGAAACACCCCUUCUUUAAUGCUGCAGAUAUCAAGAACUAGCCCCAUGGCCUGGGGCAAACCUCCUGCCCGAACCCCUUCUUUCUGUGCCCUGUCCUCACCUCUGUUAAAUGAUAGCUAAACCUCAGCAUUGAGACAUGCCUGUUUGUCCAUCUAUCAGCCUGUGUGUCUGACUUUUGUGCUUUUUAACCUGUUGAAGCCUGGGUAAAUACAACCCCCAGUGUGCACCAGCAGGACCACCCGUUUGAGUCCUUGUUUGGGAUUGGUCUUGAAUUGGACCCAUUCCGUGAUAGAGGAGGGACAAUGGCCAUGAACUCUCCUUAGCACGGAAUUAAUACUUUUCAAGACCAAUCCCAGUAAAGGAAAUAUUGGACAUCAUUCCCUCGACUAGCAUAGAACUGGUCCAAUUCAAGACAAAUCCCUCCCCGGAAAUAAGGAGUAAGGGCCCCUGGAGCAUGCUGGGAGAUGCAGUCUCCCAAGCCACAAUACUUGAAAAGCCAUACUAUCUCUAUGUAUCUAUGAAAACGGAGAGAUAGACAACUGGACAGACAGAAGGACUGACAGAGAGAUUAGUUGCUAUGUUAUUCUGUCUAUCUGCGUGCUGUUUGGUGCAUCUGUCUGUCUAUCUUUUGAGGGUUUUCAAGUGUUGUGACCUCCUGGGGAACUACAACCCCCAGUGUGCUCCAGGAGUCCCACCCCUUUGAGUCCUGCCUUGGAGUGCUCCCGAAUUCGACCAAUCCCGAGUUAGGAGAGGGACAAAGCGAAUGGCCUCUCCUGAGCCCAGGAUUGAUCCAUUUAUAAGCCAAUCAUACACAGCAGUAGCGAGGAAUAUCCCUAUCCCUGCCUCGGUCCAAUUCAAGACCAAUCCCUCCCAGGAAAUGAGAUGGAGGGACUGCUCGAGAACACUGCAGUGUGCAGUUCCUCAGGGCACAAGGCUACAAAACACAUUCUAUCUCUAGCUCUAUAUCCAUAUAGACUGAGAGAUGGCCAAGGGGACCGACAGACAGGAGGACUGACAGACAGAGACCUUCGUCAAAGGUCAAUGGCAUUCCCAGUUUCCCUAUUGUCAACCUGGAAUCAAGAAACCCUAAACUUGUGGCCUAGAAGUAUCUGGUGUAGCCUGGGUUUCCGGAGGACCUUGUAGGUUGGAGAUCCCAAAGUUUUGUACUUGUUCCCUGAUCCUGUGAGAAUCCAGAGGGAUAGAGACAGACAAACAGAAAGACAGAUAGGCAGGCCGACUGGCAGGUGGGUAGUCAGAUAGGUAGCAGGGCAGGUAGAUGGAUAUAGAGAUGGCACAUCGAGAGACACAUAGUCAGAUACAGACAGAGAGAUAGACAGGCAGGCAGGCAGGCAGGCAGGCAGACAGACAGAGAGGUAAAUAGAUAGGAAAAUAGAACAAAAAGAAAUAGAAAAACAAACAGACAGAACGAGAUAUAGUCAGAGACAUUGCAAGAUUAAUAGAACAACAGAAUAUCAGAGAGUAAAACAAAGGGACAGACAGAGACAGAUAGAUGGAAGGACAGACCGAGGGAAGAUAGAAUGGAGAGACAGACAGACUGAGAGAGAGACAGAAAGUCAGGCACAUGGAUAGACACACAGACACGGAUAGACAGAUAGCAAUAUAGAUAGAUAGAUACAGUUAGAUCUAUAGAUUGAUAUAUAGUCAGAAUGAGAGAAAAAAGGACUGACAGACACAGACAGACAGAUCGACAGACAUACAGAAAGACUGACAGAUGGACUAGUUUCUCUGUUAUUUUGUCUAUCUGUCUGUCUGUCUGUGUGUCUAUCAUCCUGUCCUUCUGUCUGCAAGACCCAUCUGGCAAUAUCUAUGUGUCCAUGUGUUUAUGGAUGUAUGUACGAAUCUCUCUCUCUCUCUCCCUCUCUCUGUCUGUCUGUCUGUCUGUCUAUCUAUAUAUCUAUCUAUCUCUCUAUGUCUUAGUGCUUCUCUCUGUGUAGUCUAUAUAAUUAUGUACCUGCCUGUCUGUGUAUCUAAUGAGUUGUCUGUAUCUCUGCCAUUCAGUCAAGUCUGGUUAUAUCUCUUUCUCUGUGUGUUUUUAUGUGUCUAUAUUUUUAUGUAUCUAUUUAUGUAUCUCUAUGUAUCUAUCUAACUACUAUUGACUUGUAAAAACAGAAAACUAUUAAAUAGUCAGAAAAGUGACUCUUUCAUCAAGGAAACGGGGGUCAAUGUGACUGUAGAGCUCUAGACAGAGCUGGGCGCCACAAGGCUACGGAGAGUCCCAGGAUUGAACUCUGGUGGCUCUGG
This is a non-coding RNA of Monodelphis domestica (gray short-tailed opossum), 4612 nucleotides long. The record is from RefSeq and is a predicted model, not a curated record. NCBI's taxonomy places the organism in Eukaryota, Metazoa, Chordata, Mammalia, Didelphimorphia, Didelphidae.